UGAUAGAGAACCAUUCAUCACGGAGCAGCACACAGCAGCAGAGCUAACAUGUCAGACAAGAAGCAGACCGUAGACUUGGGCUUAUUGGAGGAGGACGACGAGUUUGAGGAAUUCCCAGCUGAGGAUUGGACGGGGCUGGAUGAAGAUGAAGAUGCUCAUGUUUGGGAAGACAACUGGGACGACGACAACGUAGAAGACGAUUUCUCAAAUCAGCUGAGAGCGGAGCUGGAAAAACAUGGUUACAAGAUGGAGACGUCAUAGUGGCUCGCACUAAUUCUCUGUUCAGUGACGUUGGACAUGGACAUUUAUAUUUGAUCAUCUCUGGAUGGCCGUUUGUCACAAGAAGACUUUCAAGGAUUAUAAUUCGUUUCAUUCUUUCUUUUUUUUGUAAUAAAAACUGAUGUUUAGGAGGAAAAAUGUUUGAGUUUUAUUUUUUUCUGCUGACAAGUUUUACUUCCAUUAGUACCUGGUUUGAUUUUAAUCCUAAAUUAUUUUUAACGUAUCUUUAAGUAGUGAUACAUUUCUUUUAUCGGGUAACAAAUCUUUAAGUAAUAAUACAAAAUAUCUUGUAUUUUUCAUACAAAAUAAUCAAUAGGUUUUUGGUACAUACACCAUAACUUUGUUGCAGGUAUCGAAGAAAACCCUGUUUUGGUUUGAUAUAUGUGCAAUUUUUAAAAUGGGUUAAUCUUAGGGGGGGAAAAAACCCCAUCUUGAACUGCUAAACUACCCUUUUUUCCUCUAAGGGUGUAUUCAGACCAACCCAGGAUUAGAGUCCUGAAUCAGACUCUAAUCCGUUUGUCUAGAAAGUCCGAGUUUUUGGAGAGAACUGAAUGCAAAUUUGAAUUCCAAAACAGACUUCAAAACCGAACUCUGAUCCGCCUAAAAACCUAAGUCUCGGUCGGGUUGAAGUGGACUCUAAAACGGUAGAAAAUCUGUCUGAAUGCAACCUGACUAGAGACUGUUUCAAAAGCAGAAAGUUAGCUACAGUGCAGGACAUUCUGGUAAAUAUAUUACUCUGCUCUGCGGGUUAACGAAGAUGUUGUGUCAGUUGUCAUAUGAACCGGUUUGCGUGUCAACACUAAGCAAGGAAAAGCAGAAUAUAAAUGGUUUGAAGUUGUUUUACAACCUUUUUAUCAGCUUAUUGUCCCAUUGCUGUGGUGUUCUGUAGCUGCUGUAAUUUUUAAACCUUUAAUAAAUGACAAAAACUGAA
Molecule: long non-coding RNA, 1210 nt
Organism: Xiphophorus maculatus (southern platyfish)
Lineage: Eukaryota; Metazoa; Chordata; Actinopteri; Cyprinodontiformes; Poeciliidae
Exons: 3
Source: RefSeq, a predicted model, not a curated record